This 439-nucleotide ribosomal RNA is filed under the name uncultured Geobacter sp. Its description in RNAcentral is "bacterial SSU rRNA". It matches the Rfam family "Bacterial small subunit ribosomal RNA", at positions 338 to 768 of the family's 1533-position model. The record is from RNAcentral. Lineage: Bacteria; Pseudomonadati; Thermodesulfobacteriota; Desulfuromonadia; Geobacterales; Geobacteraceae.
CCUACGGGAGGCAGCAGUGGGGAAUUUUGCGCAAUGGGGGCAACCCUGACGCAGCAACGCCGCGUGAGUGAUGAAGGCUUUCGGGUCGUAAAGCUCUGUCUAGAGGGAAGAAAUGUUUUAUGGUUAAUACCCAUGAUGCUUGACGGUACCUCUGAAGGAAGCACCGGCUAACUCCGUGCCAGCAGCCGCGGUAAUACGGAGGGUGCAAGCGUUGUUCGGAUUUAUUGGGCGUAAAGCGCGUGUAGGCGGUUUGUUAAGUCUGAUGUGAAAGCCCUGGGCUCAACCUGGGAAGUGCAUUGGAAACUGGCAGACUUGAAUACGGGAGAGGGUAGUGGAAUUCCUAGUGUAGGAGUGAAAUCCGUAGAUAUUAGGAGGAACACCGGUGGCGAAGGCGGCUACCUGGACCGAUAUUGACGCUGAGACGCGAAAGCGUGGGUAG